Molecule: long non-coding RNA, 589 nt
Filed under: Haliotis rubra (blacklip abalone)
Lineage: Eukaryota; Metazoa; Mollusca; Gastropoda; Lepetellida; Haliotidae
Description: uncharacterized LOC124267768, transcript variant X3
Source: RNAcentral
UAGUGUGAUGUUACAUGGGAGGUGUCCUAGUGUGAUGUUACAUGGGAGGUGUCCUAGUGUGAUGUUACAUGGGAGGUGUUCUAGUGUGAUGUUACAUGGGAGGUGUUCUAGUGUGAUGUUACAUGGGAGGUGUCCUAGUGUGAUGUUACAUGGGAGGUGUUCUAGUGUGAUGUUACAUGGGAGGUGUCCUAGUGUGAUGUUACAUGGGAGGUGUCCUAGUGUGAUGUUACAUGGAAGGUGUCCUAGUGUGAUGUUACAUGGGAGGUGUUCUAGUGUGAUGUUACAUGGGAGGUGUUCUAGUGUGAUGUUACAUGGGAGGUGUCCUAGUGUGAUGUUACAUGGGAGGUGUUCUAGUGUGAUGUUACAUGGGAGGUGUUCUAGUGUGAUGUUACAUGGGAGGUGUCCUAGUGUGAUGUUACAUGGGAGGUGUCCUAGUGUGAUGUUACAUGGGAGGUGUCCUAGUGUGAUGUUACAUGGGAGGUGUCCUAGUGUGAUGUUACAUGGGAGGUGUUCUAGUGUGAUGCUACAUGUGAGGUGUUUUAGUGUGAUGCUACAUGGGAUGUGUCCUAGUGUGAUGUUACAUGAGAGG